GGGGCUGUAGCUCAGUGGUAGAUCGCUUGCCUAGCACGUAUGAGGCACUGGGUUCGAUUCUCAGCACCA
RNAcentral lists this transfer RNA (69 nucleotides) under Ictidomys tridecemlineatus (thirteen-lined ground squirrel). RNAcentral describes it as "Spermophilus tridecemlineatus (thirteen-lined ground squirrel) tRNA". It matches the Rfam family "tRNA". Rfam says of the family: Transfer RNA (tRNA) molecules are approximately 80 nucleotides in length. Their secondary structure includes four short double-helical elements and three loops (D, anti-codon, and T loops). The record is from Rfam by way of RNAcentral. Lineage: Eukaryota; Metazoa; Chordata; Mammalia; Rodentia; Sciuridae. RNAcentral also lists the same sequence under 1 other name.